RNA transcript from Triplophysa dalaica, 1929 nucleotides. It is a transcript of the gene named leucine rich repeat containing 73, with no coding region annotated. The transcript has 6 exons. NCBI's taxonomy places the organism in Eukaryota, Metazoa, Chordata, Actinopteri, Cypriniformes, Nemacheilidae. The record is from RefSeq and is a predicted model, not a curated record.
UCGGCUCGCCCAUUUUCCCCUAUACACACCGAGCACACAUAUUGUAGCCAAUCCCACAAUCAGCUGUCAAGGGGAUUACCUAAAGCCUGCAAGAGGUGUUCCUACAAUAAACUGUCAGUGUAUUGGUGAUGACGAUGGUGGUGGUGGGUUAGUUGAGCAUUUAAACGCAGAUAUCAUCUGGGUGUCCAUUUAAACCGCAAGUACAAACGCAGGCUAUCGCAGGAUCAUCGUAUUCACCUCGAUGCUGCAAAGACUGAAGCACAGAGAAACGUCAAGCUUGAAGAUACAAAACGCUGAAGUAGCACCACACCUUUCCACGUUUAUGUGAGCCUGUAGCUGAUGUGCUGGCAUACACGCUGCGUUAGAAAAUGCGCACCCGUGCUCUUUUUUCAGUCGAUGGCAAAUGAUGUCAGUGCGGUGGAGACAACGGAGGAACCACAACUUUAACAACUGCUGCUGAGCUUACAUCGCUCGUUGUCUAUUCUGUUUCUAAAACGAUAUAUGUUGCACAAGCCGUUGUGUGGUCGAUUUAUAAGAGCGUUUUGUUUGGUGUAAGUUGGAGAAUGUGGAUACUGUAGGACAUCUCUUAAAGGAUCCGUAAUGCUGUCCAGCCGGGCCGUUAGUCGAGCCUGACACCGCCGCGAUGCUUCCGGGGUCCAUUCAGAUCACGGGAGAGGCGCUGUCCGGAGCUGAAAUCAAGGAUAUAUGCGAGAGCCUGAAGGAGAACAGUGUGAGACUUCUGUCUGUACGGGGCUGUCAGCUGUCCGAUCGAGACUUCGGCCGUGUGUGUCGUGGUGUGGCGGAGUCUCACUCACUGGCUCAGUUGAACCUGAACCUCGGCGUGGUGUCCACCAUCAACCGGACGAAACAGCUGACAGAUGCGCUGAAGGCUAACAGAUCCAUACAGACCCUCUUUCUACACGGGACUCCGCUUUUAGAUGCAGGACUGGUCACCCUGAAUGGAGCCCUUUCCACUCACCCCUCACUCGUGUCCUUGGACCUGGGGGACUGCAUGCUGGGAGAUGAGGCUGUCCGUCUCAUAUGUGGCAUGCUGCCUCCAGACGGAGCCAAAUCGGGGCUAAAGGAGCUGACACUGAGUGCAAACCCAGCCAUCAGCACUCAGGGUUGGGCUCGACUGGCCGUCGCAGUCGCUCACAGCUCACAGUUACGGGUCCUCAACCUUGACUACAAUCCAUUGGGGGAUCAAAUCGCUGGGAUGUUGGCCGUCGCUGUUGCGUCCAGCAGAACUCUGGAAGUUCUGGAUUUGGAAGGAACUGGACUCACCAAUCAGUCAGCACAGGUCUUCCUUGACAUGGUUGAGAACUACCCCACCUGCCUGCGUGCACUGGUUCUAGCCGAGAACGAUAUCAGCCCUGAGCUGCAGCAGCAAAUCUCUGAUCUGCUUUCAGAAGGAGAGGAGGAGGAAGAUAAAGACGGAGCGGCCCGCGGUAGCUCCGUCAUCCCCCGAGAGAAACCAGCCUGGGUUCCCCACAGCAGUAAGGGCUGACCCAGUCUCAAACUCUCUCAGCCUGUUCUCUUCGCUUCAAGACUGUUUUUCAUUCAGAUUCUCUGCUUCUUCUCUGUACUCUUCCAGCUCCCAGAUGGUCCUGAUGACAUCAGGACUGGGUGAGAGCUUUUUGGCAGAGACAGAGAUGUGAUACAGGAGCUGCCUUUGAUUUGUGCUUGCACUUUUCGUUUACUGCAAGAUCACCAGUUAGUGUGUUAUCUCUCACACUGCAUGACCUGUAGCACUUAGCAGAAGACAGUUGAAAGCUGGAACAAAAACCUUAAAACACCAAGUGACUUAUAAUACGCAAUAGCGAAGUAUUUAUUUUACAGAUGUACAGUCUAUUUAUAAAUGCCUAUUUAACCAAUAACCGUAUGCUCUGAUAGUUCGGCUGUAUAGGGUUGAUGUGAUGGCCUGAUGAC